Molecule: ribosomal RNA, 468 nt
Filed under: uncultured bacterium
Lineage: Bacteria
Description: partial 16S ribosomal RNA
Rfam family: Bacterial small subunit ribosomal RNA
Source: RNAcentral
GACGAACGCUGGCGGCGUGCUUAACACAUGCAAGUCGAACGGAAAGGCCCUGCUUUUGUGGGGUGCUCGAGUGGCGAACGGGUGAGUAACACGUGAGUAACCUGCCCUUGACUUUGGGAUAACUUCAGGAAACUGGGGCUAAUACCGGAUAGGAGCUCCUGCUGCAUGGUGGGGGUUGGAAAGUUUCGGCGGUUGGGGAUGGACUCGCGGCUUAUCAGCUUGUUGGUGGGGUAGUGGCUUACCAAGGCUUUGACGGGUAGCCGGCCUGAGAGGGUGACCGGCCACAUUGGGACUGAGGUACGGCCCAGACUCCUACGGGAGGCAGCAGUCGGGAAUAUUGCCCAAUGGGCGGAAGCCUGAUGCAGCAACGCCGCGUGCGGGAUGACGGCCUUCGGGUUGUAAACCGCUUUCGCCUGUGACGAAGCGUGAGUGACGGUAAUGGGUAAAGAAUCACCGGCUAACUACGUG